AUCAUGGAGAGUUUGAUCCUGGCUCAGAAUAAACGCUGGCGGCGUGUCUUAAGCAUGCAAGUCGGACGGCAAGCCGCCUUCGGGCGGCCUAGAGUGGCGGACUGGUGAGUAACACGUGGGUGAUAUACCUUUUGGACGGGGAU
Molecule: non-coding RNA, 143 nt
Organism: Treponema berlinense
Lineage: Bacteria; Pseudomonadati; Spirochaetota; Spirochaetia; Treponematales; Treponemataceae
Source: Rfam